UACGAAGGGUGCAAGCGUUACUCGGAAUUACUGGGCGUAAAGCGUUGCGUAGGUGGUUUGUUAAGUCUGUUGUGAAAGCCCCGGGCUCAACCUGGGAAUGGCAAUGGAUACUGGCAGGCUAGAGUGCGGUAGAGGGUAGUGGAAUUCCCGGGUGUAAGCGGUGAAAUGCGUAGAGAUCGGGAGAACACCGUGGCGAAGGCGGCUCCUGGACCAGCGCUGACACUGAGGCACGAAAGCGUGGGGAGCAAAC
This 250-nucleotide ribosomal RNA is filed under the name uncultured bacterium. RNAcentral describes it as "partial 16S ribosomal RNA". It matches the Rfam family "Bacterial small subunit ribosomal RNA", at positions 524 to 773 of the family's 1533-position model. The record is from RNAcentral.